Molecule: ribosomal RNA, 330 nt
Filed under: uncultured bacterium
Lineage: Bacteria
Description: bacterial SSU rRNA
Rfam family: Bacterial small subunit ribosomal RNA
Source: RNAcentral
UCCGUAGGCGGUGUAGCAAGUCGAUAGUGAAAUCUCUGGGCUUAACUCAGAGGCUGCUAACGAAACUGCUAUGCUAGAGUGUGAGAGAGGCGAGUGGAAUUACGGGUGUAGCGGUGAAAUGCGUAGAUAUCCGUAGGAACAUCCGAGGCGAAGGCGGCUCGCUGGAUCACAACUGACGCUGAGGGACGAAAGCUAGGGGAGCAAACAGGAUUAGAUACCCUGGUAGUCCUAGCCCUAAACCAUCAGGACUUGGGGUUUGCCCUGUACGGGGCAAGUCCCGUAGCUAACGCGUUAAGUCCUGCGCCUGGGGAGUACGGUCGCAAGGCUGAG